GCCAGUUCAAAAUAGCUGGUUCAGUGCAUCCCGAUUUUACAUCGGGAGGGUCACUGGUUCGAACCCAGUAACUCCCACAA
Molecule: transfer RNA, 80 nt
Filed under: Mucilaginibacter terrigena
Lineage: Bacteria; Pseudomonadati; Bacteroidota; Sphingobacteriia; Sphingobacteriales; Sphingobacteriaceae
Description: Mucilaginibacter sp. 17JY9-4 tRNA-OTHER
Source: RNAcentral